UACGUAUGGUGCAAGCGUUAUCCGGAUUUACUGGGUGUAAAGGGAGCGCAGGCGGCACGGCAAGCCUGAUGUGAAAGCCCGCGGCCCAACCGCGGGACUGCAUUGGGAACUACCGGGCUGGAGUGCCGGAGAGGUAGGCGGAAUUCCUAGUGUAGCGGUGAAAUGCGUAGAUAUUAGGAGGAACACCAGGGGCGAAGGCGGCCUACUGGACGGUGACUGACGCUGAGGCUCGAAAGCGUGGGGAGCAAACAGG
RNAcentral lists this ribosomal RNA (253 nucleotides) under uncultured bacterium. RNAcentral's name for it is "partial 16S ribosomal RNA". It matches the Rfam family "Bacterial small subunit ribosomal RNA", at positions 524 to 776 of the family's 1533-position model. The record is from RNAcentral.